This 422-nucleotide ribosomal RNA is filed under the name uncultured Chitinophaga sp. RNAcentral describes it as "bacterial SSU rRNA". It matches the Rfam family "Bacterial small subunit ribosomal RNA", at positions 355 to 774 of the family's 1533-position model. Lineage: Bacteria; Pseudomonadati; Bacteroidota; Chitinophagia; Chitinophagales; Chitinophagaceae. The record is from RNAcentral.
UAAGGAAUAUUGGUCAAUGGACGCAAGUCUGAACCAGCCAUGCCGCGUGGAGGAUGAAGGUCCUCUGGAUUGUAAACUUCUUUUAUCUGGGAAGACAUCACUUUUUUCUAAAGGUGUUGACGGUACCAGAUGAAUAAGCACCGGCUAACUCCGUGCCAGCAGCCGCGGUAAUACGGAGGGUGCAAGCGUUAUCCGGAUUCACUGGGUUUAAAGGGUGCGUAGGCGGAAUGGUAAGUCCGUGGUGAAAUCUCCGAGCUUAACUCGGAAACUGCCGUGGAUACUAUCAUUCUUGAAUGUUGUGGAGGUUUGCGGAAUAUGUCAUGUAGCGGUGAAAUGCUUAGAUAUGACAUAGAACACCGAUUGCGAAGGCAGCAGGCUACACAAAUAUUGACGCUGAGGCACGAAAGCGUGGGGAUCAAACA